CGAAUGCUGACAUAAGUAACGAUAAUGCGGGUGAAAAACCCGCACGCCGGAAGACCAAGGGUUCCUGUCCAACGUUAAUCGGGGCAGGGUGAGUCGACCCCUAAGGCGAGGCCGAAAGGCGUAGUCGAUGGGAAACAGGUUAAUAUUCCUGUACUUGGUGUUACUGCGAAGGGGGGACGGAGAAGGCUAUGUUAGCCGGGCGACGGUUGUCCCGGUUUAAGCAUGUAGGCGGAGGUUCCAGGUAAAUCCGGUACCUUUUUAACGCUGAGGUGUGAUGACGAGGCACUACGGUGCUGAAGUAACAAAUGCCCUGCUUCCAGGAAAAGCCUCUAAGCAUCAGGUAACACGAAAUCGUACCCCAAACCGACACAGGUGGUCAGGUAGAGAAUACCAAGGCGCUUGAGAGAACUCGGGUGAAGGAACUAGGCAAAAUGGUGCCGUAACUUCGGGAGAAGGCACGCUGAUAUGUAGGUGAAGUGAUUUACUCAUGGAGCUGAAAUCAGUCGAAGAUACCAGCUGGCUGCAACUGUUUAUUAAAAACACAGCACUGUGCAAACACGAAAGUGGACGUAUACGGUGUGACGCCUGCCCGGUGCCGGAAGGUUAAUUGAUGGGGUUAUCCGUAAGGAGAAGCUCUUGAUCGAAGCCCCGGUAAACGGCGGCCGUAACUAUAACGGUCCUAAGGUAGCGAAAUUCCUUGUCGGGUAAGUUCCGACCUGCACGAAUGGCGUAAUGAUGGCCAGGCUGUCUCCACCCGAGACUCAGUGAAAUUGAACUCGCUGUGAAGAUGCAGUGUACCCGCGGCAAGACGGAAAGACCCCGUGAACCUUUACUAUAGCUUGACACUGAACACUGGUCCUUGAUGUGUAGGAUAGGUGGGAGGCUUUGAAGUGUGGACGCCAGUCUGCAUGGAGCCAUCCUUGAAAUACCACCCUUUAAUGGCUGGUGUUCUAACGUGGACCCGUAAUCCGGGUUGCGGACAGUGUCUGGUGGGUAGUUUGACUGGGGCGGUCUCCUCCUAAAGAGUAACGGAGGAGCACGAAGGUUAGCUAAUCCUGGUCGGACAUCAGGAGGUUAGUGCAAAGGCAUAAGCUAGCUUGACUGCGAGAGUGACGGCUCGAGCAGGUGCGAAAGCAGGUCUUAGUGAUCCGGUGGUUCUGAAUGGAAGGGCCAUCGCUCAACGGAUAAAAGGUACUCCGGGGAUAACAGGCUGAUACCGCCCAAGAGUUCAUAUCGACGGCGGUGUUUGGCACCUCGAUGUCGGCUCAUCACAUCCUGGGGCUGAAGUAGGUCCCAAGGGUAUGGCUGUUCGCCAUUUAAAGUGGUACGCGAGCUGGGUUUAGAACGUCGUGAGACAGUUCGGUCCCUAUCUGCCGUGGGCGCUGGAGAAUUGAGGGGGGCUGCUCCUAGUACGAGAGGACCGGAGUGGACGCAUCACUGGUGUUCGGGUUGUCAUGCCAAUGGCAUUGCCCGGUAGCUAAAUGCGGAAGAGAUAAGUGCUGAAAGCAUCUAAGCACGAAACUUGCCCCG
Molecule: ribosomal RNA, 1530 nt
Filed under: Citrobacter freundii
Lineage: Bacteria; Pseudomonadati; Pseudomonadota; Gammaproteobacteria; Enterobacterales; Enterobacteriaceae
Description: partial 23S ribosomal RNA
Rfam family: Bacterial large subunit ribosomal RNA
Source: RNAcentral